Molecule: ribosomal RNA, 253 nt
Filed under: uncultured bacterium
Lineage: Bacteria
Description: partial 16S ribosomal RNA
Rfam family: Bacterial small subunit ribosomal RNA
Source: RNAcentral
UACGUAGGGCGCAAGCGUUGUCCGGAAUUAUUGGGCGUAAAGAGCUCGUAGGUGGCUUGUCACGUCGGGUGUGAAAGCUUGGGGCUUAACUCCAGGUCUGCAUUCGAUACGGGCUGGCUAGAGGUAGGUAGGGGAGAACGGAAUUCCUGGUGUAGCGGUGAAAUGCGCAGAUAUCAGGAAGAACACCAAUGGCGAAAGCAGCUUUCUGGGACGGUACUGACGCUGAGACGCGAAAGCGUGGGGAGCGAACAGG